Molecule: ribosomal RNA, 429 nt
Filed under: Acidobacteriota bacterium
Lineage: Bacteria; Pseudomonadati; Acidobacteriota
Description: Acidobacteria bacterium partial 16S ribosomal RNA
Rfam family: Bacterial small subunit ribosomal RNA
Source: RNAcentral
UGGGGAAUUUUGGACAAUGGGGGCAACCCUGAUCCAGCCAUCCCGCGUGUGCGAUGAAGGCCUUCGGGUUGUAAAGCACUUUUGGCAGGAAAGAAACGUCAUGGGCUAAUACCCCGUGAAACUGACGGUACCUGCAGAAUAAGCACCGGCUAACUACGUGCCAGCAGCUGCGGUAAUACGUAGGGUGCAAGCGUUAAUCGGAAUUACUGGGCGUAAAGCGUGCGCAGGCGGUUCGGAAAGAAAGAGGUGAAAUCCCAGGGCUCAACUUUGGAACUGCAUUUUUAACUACCGGGCUAGAGUGUGUCAGAGGGAGGUGGAAUUCCGAGUGUAGCAGUGAAAUGCGUAGAUAUGCGGAGGAACACCGAUGGCGAAGGCAGCCCCCUGGGAUAACACUGACGCUCAUGCACGAAAGCGUGGGGAGCAAACAGG